ACCUGGCUUGCUCAGUUGGUAGAGCAUGUGACUCUUGAUCUCAGGGUUAUAGGUUCAAGCCCCAUCCUGGAUA
RNAcentral lists this transfer RNA (73 nucleotides) under Felis catus (domestic cat). It matches the Rfam family "tRNA". Rfam says of the family: Transfer RNA (tRNA) molecules are approximately 80 nucleotides in length. Their secondary structure includes four short double-helical elements and three loops (D, anti-codon, and T loops). Further hydrogen bonds mediate the characteristic L-shaped molecular structure. tRNAs have two regions of fundamental functional importance: the anti-codon, which is responsible for specific mRNA codon recognition, and the 3' end, to which the tRNAs corresponding amino acid is attached (by aminoacyl-tRNA synthetases). tRNAs cope with the degeneracy of the genetic code in two manners: having more than one tRNA (with a specific anti-codon) for a particular amino acid; and 'wobble' base-pairing, i.e. permitting non-standard base-pairing at the 3rd anti-codon position. Lineage: Eukaryota; Metazoa; Chordata; Mammalia; Carnivora; Felidae. RNAcentral also lists the same sequence under 2 other names. The record is from Rfam by way of RNAcentral.